RNAcentral lists this small RNA (27 nucleotides) under Bombyx mori (domestic silkworm). Its description in RNAcentral is "ovarian small RNA-8780". Lineage: Eukaryota; Metazoa; Arthropoda; Insecta; Lepidoptera; Bombycidae. The record is from RNAcentral.
UGGCUAAACAUUCCUUUUGGUGAGGGA